RNAcentral lists this ribosomal RNA (396 nucleotides) under uncultured bacterium. Its description in RNAcentral is "partial 16S ribosomal RNA". It matches the Rfam family "Bacterial small subunit ribosomal RNA", at positions 523 to 917 of the family's 1533-position model. The record is from RNAcentral.
AUACGUAGGGGGCGAGCGUUGUCCGGAAUGAUUGGGCGUAAAGGGCGCGUAGGCGGCGCGGUAAGUCUGGAGUGAAAGUCCUGCUUUCAAGGUGGGAAUUGCUUUGGAUACUGCCGCGCUUGAGUGCAGGAGAGGUUAUCGGAAUUCCCGGUGUAGCGGUGAAAUGCGUAGAGAUCGGGAGGAACACCAGUGGCGAAGGCGGGUAACUGGACUGCAACUGACGCUGAGGCGCGAAAGUGUGGGGAGCAAACAGGAUUAGAUACCCUGGUAGUCCACACUGUAAACGAUGAAUGCUAGGUGUAAGAGGUAUCGACCCCUUUUGUGCCGGAGUCAACACAAUAAGCAUUCCGCCUGGGGAGUACGGCCGCAAGGUUGAAACUCAAAGGAACUGACGGG